CCUACGGGUGGCAGCAGUGGGGAAUAUUGCACAAUGGGGGAAACCCUGAUGCAGCGACGCCGCGUGAGUGAAGAAGUAUCUCGGUACGUAAAGCUCUAUUAGCAGGGAAGAAAAUGACGGUACCUGACUAAGAAGCCCCGGCUAACUACGUGCCAGAAGCCGCGGUAAUACGUAGGGGGCAAGCGUUAUCCGGAUUUACUGGGGGUAAAGGGGGCGUAUACGGCAGCGCAAGUCUGAAGUGAAAUCCCAUGGCUUAACCAUGGAACUGCUGUGGAAACUGUGCAGCUGGAGUGCAGGAGAGGUAGGCGGAAUUCGUGGUGUAGCGGUGAAAUGCGUAGAUAUUAGGAGGAACACCGGUGGCGAAGGCAGCUUACUGGACUGUAACUGACGUUGAGGCUCGAAAGCGUGGGGAGCAAACAGGAUUAGAUACCCUGGUAGUC
RNAcentral lists this ribosomal RNA (440 nucleotides) under uncultured bacterium. RNAcentral's name for it is "partial 16S ribosomal RNA". It matches the Rfam family "Bacterial small subunit ribosomal RNA", at positions 338 to 795 of the family's 1533-position model. The record is from RNAcentral.